Molecule: ribosomal RNA, 429 nt
Filed under: Acidobacteriota bacterium
Lineage: Bacteria; Pseudomonadati; Acidobacteriota
Description: Acidobacteria bacterium partial 16S ribosomal RNA
Rfam family: Bacterial small subunit ribosomal RNA
Source: RNAcentral
UGGGGAAUUUUGGACAAUGGGGGAAACCCUGAUCCAGCCAUCCCGCGUGUGCGAUGAAGGCCUUCGGGUUGUAAAGCACUUUUGGCAGGAAAGAAACGUCAUGGGUUAAUACCCCGUGAAACUGACGGUACCUGCAGAAUAAGCACCGGCUAACUACGUGCCAGCAGCCGCGGUAAUACGUAGGGUGCAAGCGUUAAUCGGAAUUACUGGGCGUAAAGCGUGCGCAGGCGGUUCGGAAAGAAAGAUGUGAAAUCCCAGAGCUCAACUUUGGAACUGCAUUUUUAACUACCGGGCUAGAGUGUGUCAGAGGGAGGUGGAAUUCCGCGUGUAGCAGUGAAAUGCGUAGAUAUGCGGAGGAACACCGAUGGCGAAGGCAGCCUCCUGGGAUAACACUGACGCUCAUGCACGAAAGAGUGGGGAGCAAACAGG